AAGUNGGAUGUGAAAGCCCCGGGNUCANCNNGGGAANUGCAUNUGAUACUGGGAAGNUAGAGUAUGUGAGAGGGGGGUAGAAUUNCCAAGUGUAGCGGUGAAAUGNGUAGAGAUUUGGAGGAAUACCAGUGGNGAAGGCGGCCCCCUGGCACAAUACUGACGNUCAGGUGCGAAAGCGUGGGGAGCAAACAGGAUUAGAUACCCNUGGUAGUNCACGCCGUAAACGAUGUCUACUAGCUGUUCGCGGCCUUGUGUUGUGAGUAGCGCAGCUAACGCAUUAAGUAGACCGCCUGGGGAGUACGGUCGCAAGAUUAAAACUCAAAUGAAUUGACGGGGGCCCGCACAAGCGGUGGAGCAUGUGGUUUAAUUCGACGCAACGCGAAGAACCUUACCUACUCUUGACAUCUACAGAAGAACGCAGAGAUGUGUUUGUGCCUUCGGGAACUGUAAGACAGGUGCUGCAUGGCUGUCGUCAGCUCGUGUUGUGAAAUGUUGGGUUAAGUCCCGCAACGAGCGCAACCCUUAUCCUUAGUUGCCAGCGAUUCGGUCGGGAACUCUAGGGAGACUGCCGGUGAUAAACCGGAGGAAGGUGGGGAUGACGUCAAAUCAUCAUGCCCCUUAUGACCUGGGCUACACACGUGCUACAAUGGAUGGUACAAAGGGCUGCAAAACCGCGAGGUUGAGCGAAUCCCAUAAAGCCAUUCUCAGUUCGGAUUGUAGGCUGCAACUCGCCUACAUGAAGCCGGAAUUGCUAGUAAUCGCGGAUCAGCAUGCCGCGGUGAAUACGUUCCCGGGCCUUGUACACACCGCCCGUCACACCACGGGAGUGGGUUGCAAAAGAAGUAGGUAGCUUAACCCUCGGGAGGGCGCUUACCACUUUGUGAUUCAUGACUGGGGUGAAGUCGUAACAAGGUAACCGUAGGGGAACCUGCGGCUGGAUCACCUCCUU
Molecule: ribosomal RNA, 949 nt
Filed under: uncultured bacterium
Lineage: Bacteria
Description: bacterial SSU rRNA
Rfam family: Bacterial small subunit ribosomal RNA
Source: RNAcentral